GACGAACGCUGGCGGCGUGCUUAACACAUGCAAGUCGAACGGAAAGGCCCUGCUUUUGUGGGGUGCUCGAGUGGCGAACGGGUGAGUAACACGUGAGUAACCUGCCCUUGACUUUGGGAUAACUUCAGGAAACUGGGGCUAAUACCGGAUAGGAGCUCCUGCUGCAUGGUGGGGGUUGGAAAGUUUCGGCGGUUGGGGAUGGACUCGCGGCGUAUCAGCUUGUUGGUGGGGUAGUGGCUUACCAAGGCUAUGACGGGUAGCCGGGCUGGGAGGGUCAGCGGCCACAUUAGACCUGGGAUACGGCCCGGCCUCCAACGGGAGGCAGCGGAGGGGAAGGUUACACAGUGGGCGGAGGCCUGGUGUGGCACAGCCGCGUGCGGGAUGACAGCCAGCGGGUAGUAAACCGCAGUCGCCUGUGACGGGGCGUGAAUGACGGUACUGGGUAAAGAAGCACCGGCUAACUACGUG
RNAcentral lists this ribosomal RNA (468 nucleotides) under uncultured bacterium. RNAcentral describes it as "partial 16S ribosomal RNA". It matches the Rfam family "Bacterial small subunit ribosomal RNA", at positions 28 to 507 of the family's 1533-position model. The record is from RNAcentral.